This 1358-nucleotide ribosomal RNA is filed under the name uncultured bacterium. Its description in RNAcentral is "16S ribosomal RNA". It matches the Rfam family "Bacterial small subunit ribosomal RNA", at positions 27 to 1381 of the family's 1533-position model. The record is from RNAcentral.
GGAUGAACGCUAGCGACAGGCCUAACACAUGCAAGUCGAGGGGCAGCACAUGAGUAGCAAUACGAUGGUGGCGACCGGCGCACGGGUGAGUAACACGUAUGCAACCUGCCUGUAAGAGGGGAAUAACCCGGAGAAAUUCGGACUAAUACCGCAUAAUACCACGAGACUGCAUGGUUUUGUGGUUAAACAUUUAUGGCUUACAGAUGGGCAUGCGUAUGAUUAGAUAAUUGGUAGGGUAACGGCCUACCAAGUCUACGAUCAUUAGGGGUUCUGAGAGGAAGGUCCCCCACACUGGUACUGAGACACGGACCAGACUCCUACGGGAGGCAGCAGUGAGGAAUAUUGGUCAAUGGGCGAGAGCCUGAACCAGCCAAGUCGCGUGAAGGAAGAAGGUUCUAUGGAUUGUAAACUUCUUUUGCAGGGGAAUAAAGGACGGUACGUGUACUGUUUUGUAUGUACCUUGCGAAUAAGGAUCGGCUAACUCCGUGCCAGCAGCCGCGGUAAUACGGAGGAUCCGAGCGUUAUCCGGAUUUAUUGGGUUUAAAGGGUGCGUAGGUGGAUUGUUAAGUCAGUGGUGAAAGUUUUCAGCUCAACUGAAAAAUUGCCGUUGAAACUGUCGAUCUUGAGUGCAAAUGAGGUAGGCGGAAUGUGUUGUGUAGCGGUGAAAUGCUUAGAUAUAACACAGAACUCCGAUUGCGAAGGCAGCUUACUGGGAUGCAACUGACACUGAUGCACGAAAGCGUGGGUAUCAAACAGGAUUAGAUACCCUGGUAGUCCACGCAGUAAACGAUGAAUACUAGCUGUAUGCGAUACACCGUAUGUGGCACAGCGAAAGCGUUAAGUAUUCCACCUGGGGAGUACGUUCGCAAGAAUGAAACUCAAAGGAAUUGACGGGGGCCCGCACAAGCGGAGGAACAUGUGGUUUAAUUCGAUGAUACGCGAGGAACCUUACCUGGGCUUAAAUGUAGAGUGCAUUUUCUAGAGAUAGGAAUUCCCUUCGGGGCUUUCUGCAAGGUGCUGCAUGGUUGUCGUCAGCUCGUGCCGUGAGGUGUCGGGUUAAGUCCCAUAACGAGCGCAACCCUUAUCGUUAGUUGCCAUCUGGUAAAGCAGGGGACUCUAGCGAAACUGCCACCGUAAGGUGAGAGGAAGGUGGGGAUGACGUCAAAUCAGCACGGCNNNNAUGUCCAGGGCUACACACGUGUUACAAUGGUCGGUACAGAGGGCAGCUACCUGGUGACAGGAUGCUAAUCUCGAAAACCGGUCUCAGUUCGGAUCGAAGUCUGCAACUCGACUUCGUGAAGCUGGAUUCGCUAGUAAUCGCGCAUCAGCCAUGGCGCGGUGAAUACGUUCCCGGGCCU